Molecule: ribosomal RNA, 486 nt
Filed under: uncultured bacterium
Lineage: Bacteria
Description: partial 16S ribosomal RNA
Rfam family: Bacterial small subunit ribosomal RNA
Source: RNAcentral
AUUGAACGCUGGCGGCAUGCCUUACACAUGCAAGUCGAACGGCAGCACGGGUGCUUGCACCUGGUGGCGAGUGGCGAACGGGUGAGUAAUACAUCGGAACAUUUCCUGUAGUGGGGCAUCGCGCGGCGAAAGCCGGAUUAAUACCGCAAACGAACUACGUAUGAAAGCGGGGGACCUGCGGUCCUCGCGCUAUUGGGUUGGCGGAUGGCUGAUUAGCGAGUUGGUGGGGUAAAGGCCUACCAAGGCGGCGAUCAGUAGCUGGUCUGAGAGGACGACCAGCCACACUGGGACUGAGACACGGCCCAGACUCCUACGGGAGGCAGCAGUGGGGAAUUUUGGACAAUGGGCGAAAGCCUGAUCCAGCAAUGCCGCGUGUGUGAAGAAGGCCUUCGGGUUGUAAAGCACUUUUGUCCGGAAAGAAAUCCUUGGCCCUAAUACGGUCGGGGGAUGACGGUACCGGAAGAAUAAGCACCGGCUAACUACGUG